This 1510-nucleotide ribosomal RNA is filed under the name Lacticaseibacillus rhamnosus. RNAcentral's name for it is "bacterial SSU rRNA". It matches the Rfam family "Bacterial small subunit ribosomal RNA". Lineage: Bacteria; Bacillati; Bacillota; Bacilli; Lactobacillales; Lactobacillaceae. The record is from RNAcentral.
GCUCAGGAUGAACGCUGGCGGCGUGCCUAAUACAUGCAAGUCGAACGAGUUCUGAUUAUUGAAAGGUGCUUGCAUCUUGAUUUAAUUUUGAACGAGUGGCGGACGGGUGAGUAACACGUGGGUAACCUGCCCUUAAGUGGGGGAUAACAUUUGGAAACAGAUGCUAAUACCGCAUAAAUCCAAGAACCGCAUGGUUCUUGGCUGAAAGAUGGCGUAAGCUAUCGCUUUUGGAUGGACCCGCGGCGUAUUAGCUAGUUGGUGAGGUAACGGCUCACCAAGGCAAUGAUACGUAGCCGAACUGAGAGGUUGAUCGGCCACAUUGGGACUGAGACACGGCCCAAACUCCUACGGGAGGCAGCAGUAGGGAAUCUUCCACAAUGGACGCAAGUCUGAUGGAGCAACGCCGCGUGAGUGAAGAAGGCUUUCGGGUCGUAAAACUCUGUUGUUGGAGAAGAAUGGUCGGCAGAGUAACUGUUGUCGGCGUGACGGUAUCCAACCAGAAAGCCACGGCUAACUACGUGCCAGCAGCCGCGGUAAUACGUAGGUGGCAAGCGUUAUCCGGAUUUAUUGGGCGUAAAGCGAGCGCAGGCGGUUUUUUAAGUCUGAUGUGAAAGCCCUCGGCUUAACCGAGGAAGUGCAUCGGAAACUGGGAAACUUGAGUGCAGAAGAGGACAGUGGAACUCCAUGUGUAGCGGUGAAAUGCGUAGAUAUAUGGAAGAACACCAGUGGCGAAGGCGGCUGUCUGGUCUGUAACUGACGCUGAGGCUCGAAAGCAUGGGUAGCGAACAGGAUUAGAUACCCUGGUAGUCCAUGCCGUAAACGAUGAAUGCUAGGUGUUGGAGGGUUUCCGCCCUUCAGUGCCGCAGCUAACGCAUUAAGCAUUCCGCCUGGGGAGUACGACCGCAAGGUUGAAACUCAAAGGAAUUGACGGGGGCCCGCACAAGCGGUGGAGCAUGUGGUUUAAUUCGAAGCAACGCGAAGAACCUUACCAGGUCUUGACAUCUUUUGAUCACCUGAGAGAUCAGGUUUCCCCUUCGGGGGCAAAAUGACAGGUGGUGCAUGGUUGUCGUCAGCUCGUGUCGUGAGAUGUUGGGUUAAGUCCCGCAACGAGCGCAACCCUUAUGACUAGUUGCCAGCAUUUAGUUGGGCACUCUAGUAAGACUGCCGGUGACAAACCGGAGGAAGGUGGGGAUGACGUCAAAUCAUCAUGCCCCUUAUGACCUGGGCUACACACGUGCUACAAUGGAUGGUACAACGAGUUGCGAGACCGCGAGGUCAAGCUAAUCUCUUAAAGCCAUUCUCAGUUCGGACUGUAGGCUGCAACUCGCCUACACGAAGUCGGAAUCGCUAGUAAUCGCGGAUCAGCACGCCGCGGUGAAUACGUUCCCGGGCCUUGUACACACCGCCCGUCACACCAUGAGAGUUUGUAACACCCGAAGCCGGUGGCGUAACCCUUUUAGGGAGCGAGCCGUCUAAGGUGGGACAAAUGAUUAGGGUGAAGUCGUAACAA